GAUGAAGAACGCAGCGAAAUGCGAUAAGUAAUGUGAAUUGCAAAUUCAGUGAAUCAUCGAGUCUUUGAACGCACAUUGCGCCCCCUGGUAUUCCGGGGGGCAUGCCUGUCCGAGCGUCAUUGCUGCCCUCAAGCACGGCUUGUGUGUUGGGCCCCGUCCUCCGAUCCCGGGGGACGGGCCCGAAAGGCAGCGGCGGCACCGCGUCCGGUCCUCGAGCGUAUUGGGCUUUGUCACCCGCUCUGUAGGCCCGGCCGGCGCUUGCCGAUCAACCCAAAUUUUUAUCCAGGUUGACCUCGGAUCAGGUAGGGAUACCCGCUGAACUUAAGCAUAUCAAUAAGCGGAGGA
RNAcentral lists this unclassified non-coding RNA (345 nucleotides) under soil metagenome. Its description in RNAcentral is "partial contains 5.8S ribosomal RNA, internal transcribed spacer 2, and large subunit ribosomal RNA". The stretch from base 1 to 119 matches the Rfam family "5.8S ribosomal RNA", at positions 35 to 154 of the family's 154-position model. The record is from RNAcentral.